CACGUAGGGUGCGAGCGUUGUCCGGAAUUAUUGGGCGUAAAGAGCUCGUAGGCGGUGUGUCGCGUCGGCCGUGAAAACCUGUGGCUUAACUACGGGCUUGCGGUCGAUACGGGCAUCACUGGAGUUCGGCAGGGGAGACUGGAAUUCCUGGUGUAGCGGUGAAAUGCGCAGAUAUCAGGAGGAACACCGGUGGCGAAGGCGGGUCUCUGGGCCGAUACUGACGCUGAGGAGCGAAAGCGUGGGGAGCGAACAGG
RNAcentral lists this ribosomal RNA (254 nucleotides) under uncultured bacterium. RNAcentral describes it as "partial 16S ribosomal RNA". It matches the Rfam family "Bacterial small subunit ribosomal RNA", at positions 524 to 776 of the family's 1533-position model. The record is from RNAcentral.